AGAGCGUCUGAAGAGUCGGAUUCGGAUGAGGAGUUGAAGGGGUUGAACUAUGAGGAGUAUCGGAGGCUGAAGAGACAGAAGCUCCGGAAGACAUUGAAGCAUUGUAUUUGGAGAGUGACUCCUAGCCCACCGAGGAAUGGGAACGAAGAGUAUGAGGAGAAAGAUGAUGAAAUUUUGGAGAAAUAUGGCGGCGGCGGUGACGACGGUGGAGA
Molecule: unclassified non-coding RNA, 212 nt
Filed under: Hevea brasiliensis (rubber tree)
Lineage: Eukaryota; Viridiplantae; Streptophyta; Magnoliopsida; Malpighiales; Euphorbiaceae
Source: RNAcentral